GAGGAAUAUUGGACAAUGGAGGCAACUCUGAUCCAGCCAUGCCGCGUGCAGGAAGACGGCCCUAUGGGUUGUAAACUGCUUUUAUACAGGAAGAAUGUUACCUACGCGUAGGUAUUUGACGGUACUGUAAGAAUAAGGAUCGGCUAACUCCGUGCCAGCAGCCGCGGUAAUACGGAGGAUCCAAGCGUUAUCCGGAAUCAUUGGGUUUAAAGGGUCCGCAGGCGGUUCAUUAAGUCAGAGGUGAAAUCCUACCGCUCAACGGUAGCAUUGCCUUUGAUACUGAUGGACUUGAGUUAUAGUGAAGUAGUUAGAAUGUGUAGUGUAGCGGUGAAAUGCAUAGAUAUUACACA
This 350-nucleotide ribosomal RNA is filed under the name uncultured bacterium. RNAcentral's name for it is "bacterial SSU rRNA". It matches the Rfam family "Bacterial small subunit ribosomal RNA", at positions 356 to 703 of the family's 1533-position model. The record is from RNAcentral.